RNA transcript from Branchiostoma belcheri (Belcher's lancelet), 1635 nucleotides. RefSeq lists it as uncharacterized. The transcript has 5 exons. The record is from RefSeq and is a predicted model, not a curated record. Lineage: Eukaryota; Metazoa; Chordata; Leptocardii; Amphioxiformes; Branchiostomatidae.
AAGUGUUGCAGGGGUAAAAAAAAAAAGUUGCAAGUUUGUUGUAGGACGUUCUGCACUAUUUGGGCCCGAGUUGUGCAGCUGCCGCGGAGGUUGAGCGGCACGAUGGCGUCCGGAGGGGGAGAGAAGCCCCUCAUCAACAUAGACGUGGUCUCCGACGUGAUGUGACCCUGGUGUUGGGUCGGCAAGAGGAAACUAGAGGAAGCCAUGCGGAUGUGUAAGGAGAAGUACACCUUCCACGUCAGCUGGCAGCCCUACCUCUUACGACCCAACAUGCCUCCUGAUGGGAUGGAGAAACCUUCUCAGUACAAGGGGGUGAGUGACCAUCUGAAGGCAGCAGGCCAGGCGGUGGGGAUAGACUUCACCGGGAAGUGUCCUCGUUUCCCCAACACCAUCCAGGCACACUGUCUCCUGGAGCAUGCUGGGAAGGUACCGGAUGGGGGGAAGACUCAGGACAAGUUGGCAGAAGUUCUCUUCAGGGCCUAUUUCACGGAUGGCAUGUACCCGUCUGGUUACAACCUGGUGGAGCUGGCUAAGGAAGUGGGGAUGAGUCAGGAGGAGGUAGAACCAGUCAUCACCAGUCAGGAGAACCAGAAAGCCGUCUUGGACAAGGCGGGGCAGUACAUGAAGGAUGGGGUUACAGGUGUGCCAUUUUUCUACAUGAAUGGUCGGCAAGCCUUCUCCGGUGCCCAGGAUCCCGGCAACUUUGUCUACUGUUUCCAGAAGGUGGUGGAGAAGUUUCCAGCAGGAAAGGGCGGGGCCAGUCAGAGCUCCAUGUGAACGGAAAAAUCUACAUGAUUACCAUAGACUGCUGGGCAGAGCACCCCAGCACUGUAGAUUGUCGCCCUCUAGCAAGUUAAUUGUGAACUGCAGCCAGUACCCAAUAGGCAAACUUACAAUGUGUUUGAAGACUUUCUAUGCACCAUGAGCAAUAAGGCAAUCUGACAGUGACUAAGCAAAAUAAAUCUGAUCACAAUCUGUUCUGGAAAAUAUGAUAAUCUAUUUUUGACAUUUUUUAAAUGUUUACGGAAGGAAAACAUAUUGUUUCUACUCAGUUUCUUCCUCUUCUGUUCCUAACACUAACCUCUGACCUGGCCAAUGACAUGAUUUGUUGACGUCUGUCACCAUGGUGACUGGUGUUGGGUUACAUAAUGUUGCAAUUGCAUGGUCUGCUCUACUCCUGUCACCAUAUACUACUCGUAGUACAUGUAGUACAUGUGUUUGAGUAAAAAUUAACAGGGCAGACCAUGUCCAAAGGUAAACAUGCAUUUGCUUUGCAAAUUUUACUUCUCUAGUUCUUUCAUUGCAAAGUUUUUCUUUGAAUAUUGAAAUUGCAGUAUAAUGGUCUUCGCAAAAUCUAUGCAAACAAGCUUUCAAAUGUUAACUAUAUUACAAUGCAUUUAACCAAUCAAUGGAUUUUAAUGUGUAAAUAAGGAUGUGUUUGAUUGGUCGGAUAUGUGGUGCCUCUGGUUAAGUGGCCAAUGAAUGUGCCUGAGACAUGAACUCUCAGCUGCCCCUGCCAAUGCUCCAUGAUAGCACUGGGCUCAACUGAAUGCUCAGUGCCUGAUAAACCUCAGCAUUGGAUGGAGGCUUUCUUUACCAUAAAAACAGGUCCUGGAGUAAAAUGUCUCAACAGUA